GACGAACGCUGGCGGCGUGCCUAAUACAUGCAAGUCGAGCGGAUCAUUGGAAGCUUGCUUCCUUUGAUUAGCGGCGGACGGGUGAGUAACACGUGGGCAACCUGCCUGUAAGACUGGGAUAACACCGGGAAACCGGUGCUAAUACCGGAUAAUCCACUUCCUCACAUGAGGGAGUGCUGAAAGACGGCGUAAGCUGUCACUUACAGAUGGGCCCGCGGCGCAUUAGCUAGUUGGUGAGGUAACGGCUCACCAAGGCGACGAUGCGUAGCCGACCUGAGAGGGUGAUCGGCCACACUGGGACUGAGACACGGCCCAGACUCCUACGGGAGGCAGCAGUAGGGAAUCUUCCGCAAUGGACGAAAGUCUGACGGAGCAACGCCGCGUGAGUGAUGAAGGUUUUCGGAUCGUAAAACUCUGUUGAUAGGGAAGAACAAGUAUCGGAGUAACUGCCGGUACCUUGACGGUACCUAACCAGAAAGCCACGGCUAACUACGUGCC
This 498-nucleotide ribosomal RNA is filed under the name uncultured bacterium. RNAcentral's name for it is "bacterial SSU rRNA". It matches the Rfam family "Bacterial small subunit ribosomal RNA", at positions 28 to 509 of the family's 1533-position model. The record is from RNAcentral.